CCGGCGGUCAGCUGCUGUUAUUGUUCAUUGUUAAGCAGCCGCGCAGUGACGAAGGCGACGAGCACACGAGAGCAAACACGAGCACAUUAGACCCACUUGGGGCAGGAAGUGACUGCAGAGGAAACGGCAGCAGGAAGUCGAGACGGACGCCGCGUUGGCGGAGACGAGUCGCUGAACGUCGUCCACGAGGCGUCACGAGACAAACGGCCACUAGAUGUCACUCUAAGACGAGAUAAAACGCCAACGCUCGGCCUGCAUCCAUCCGCCUAUGAAACACCAGCAACUUGUACAAGACUCAUCAAAUCCCACCAGCUUACACUUUCGUUUGAAAAAACAUUAUGGUGAGCUCACUGUUAACACAGAUGGACCAAACUGCUGCAGAGAUGGCGGUGAACAUCUGUAUGGGAGAGAUCUGAUGUGCCCUAUUGCUAUUGUAUCGCCGUCCCAUAUGGAAACAAUCCUCGCCGUGUGUUGGAUAGAAGGCGGGCGCUAAAGCGAGGGAUGCAUGCCGUCCACAGACUACGUUUAUCCUAAAAAAAAUAAAUGGGAAAAGCCCCACUACACUCACACACCUUUCUGUAUUGCAUAGUAGUUAAAUACUUCUCGUGUGUAUCUAUUUACAUGUAUAUAUUUGUGUAUUUUGUCAUUGCACGUCCUUGUUUUUGUUACACAGUCAAACUCACAUGCAAAUAAAUUCUG
Gasterosteus aculeatus aculeatus (three-spined stickleback) is the source of this 699-nucleotide long non-coding RNA. The record is from Ensembl. NCBI's taxonomy places the organism in Eukaryota, Metazoa, Chordata, Actinopteri, Perciformes, Gasterosteidae.